UGGGGAAUAUUGCACAAUGGGCGCAAGCCUGAUGCAGCCAUGCCGCGUGUAUGAAGAAGGCCUUCGGGUUGUAAAGUACUUUCAGUCGGGAGGAAGGUGGUAAGGUUAAUAACCUUAUCAAUUGACGUUACCGACAGAAGAAGCACCGGCUAACUCCGUGCCAGCAGCCGCGGUAAUACGGAGGGUGCAAGCGUUAAUCGGAAUUACUGGGCGUAAAGCGCACGCAGGCGGUUGAUUGAGUCAGAUGUGAAAUCCCCGGGCUUAACCCGGGGAUUGCAUCUGAUACUGGUCAGCUAGAGUCUUGUAGAGGGGGGUAGAAUUCCAUGUGUAGCGGUGAAAUGCGUAGAGAUGUGGAGGAAGACCGGUGGCGAAGGCGGCCCCCUGGACAAAGACUGACGCUCAGGUGCGAAAGCGUGGGGAGCAAACAGG
RNAcentral lists this ribosomal RNA (429 nucleotides) under Chloroflexota bacterium. RNAcentral's name for it is "Chloroflexi bacterium partial 16S ribosomal RNA". It matches the Rfam family "Bacterial small subunit ribosomal RNA", at positions 355 to 776 of the family's 1533-position model. The record is from RNAcentral. Lineage: Bacteria; Bacillati; Chloroflexota.